Molecule: transfer RNA, 75 nt
Filed under: Paractinoplanes deccanensis
Lineage: Bacteria; Bacillati; Actinomycetota; Actinomycetes; Micromonosporales; Micromonosporaceae
Description: Actinoplanes deccanensis tRNA-Lys
Rfam family: tRNA
About the family: Transfer RNA (tRNA) molecules are approximately 80 nucleotides in length.
Source: RNAcentral
GUGCCGCUAGCUCAACCGGCUAGAGCAGCUGCCUCUUAAGCAGCGGGUUCGGGGUUCGAGUCCCCGGCGGCGCAC